This 974-nucleotide ribosomal RNA is filed under the name uncultured organism. RNAcentral describes it as "bacterial SSU rRNA". It matches the Rfam family "Bacterial small subunit ribosomal RNA", at positions 97 to 1073 of the family's 1533-position model. The record is from RNAcentral.
GGCGGACGGGUGAGUAACACGUAUGCAAUUUGCCUUUAACUGGAGGAUAGCUUCGGGAAACCGUAAUUAAUACUCCAUAGUAUUCAAAAGACGCAUGUUUUUUGAAUUAAAGCUCCGGCGGUUAAAGAUAAGCAUGCGGGACAUUAGCUAGUUGGUAAGGUAACGGCUUACCAAGGCGACGAUGUCUAGGGGGUUUGAGAGGAUGAUCCCCCACACUGGUACUGAGACACGGACCAGACUCCUACGGGAGGCAGCAGUGAGGAAUAUUGGGCAAUGGGCGCAAGCCUGACCCAGCCAUGCCGCGUGCAGGAUGAAGGUCCUAUGGAUCGUAAACUGCUUUUGUAUGGGAAGAACUUCCCGCAUUCGUGCGGGAUUGACGGUACUAUACGAAUAAGGACCGGCUAACUCCGUGCCAGCAGCCGCGGUAAUACGGAGGGUCCAAGCGUUAUCCGGAUUCACUGGGUUUAAAGGGUGCGUAGGUGGAACGAUAAGUCGAUGGUGAAAGCCUACAGCUUAACUGUAGAAUUGCCAUUGAUACUGUUGUUCUUGAGUAUAGUCGGGGGAAGUGGAAUGCGUAAUGUAGCGGUGAAAUGCAUAGAUAUUACGCAGAACACCGAUCGCGAAAGCAGCUUCCUAGGCUAUUACUGACACUGAGGCACGAAAGCGUGGGGAGCGAACAGGAUUAGAUACCCUGGUAGUCCACGCCGUAAACGAUGCUCACUCGCUGUUGGCGAUAUAUUGUCAGCAGUUAAGCUAAAGCAUUAAGUGAGCCACCUGGGAAGUACGUCCGCAAGGAUGAAACUCAAAGGAAUUGACGGGGGCCCGCACAACCGGUGGAACAUGUGGUUCAAUUCGAUGAUACGCGAGGAACCUUACCUGGGCUUAAAUGUAGUUUGACUUCCGCCGAAAGGCGGUUUUCCUUCGGGACAAAUUACAAGGUGCUGCACGGCUGUCGUCAGCUCGUGCCGUGAGGU